This is a non-coding RNA of Poecilia reticulata (guppy), 654 nucleotides long. NCBI's taxonomy places the organism in Eukaryota, Metazoa, Chordata, Actinopteri, Cyprinodontiformes, Poeciliidae. The record is from RefSeq and is a predicted model, not a curated record.
UCUACCUUUAGUUUCAAACAGCUGCCUGAUAUGACCUCAAACUGUGUUUUAGUUCAGCACUGCUCACCUCGCUUCUCAGUGAAAUAAGGAAACAUGACUUAUCUGCCUCCUGCUCCUCAGUUGGAUCGCUCUAAAAGUAGCUCAGUUUAAUGGACCAGGUGCAGCUGAGGAGCAUUUGCACCAUUUUAAAAGAUUUUGGCCUUUUCCCACUGCUGUAAGAAGAUUUCUGACCUCUUGUUGCUGAACCCUGCCUGCCUCUGACCCUGCCUCCAGUUUUCUGUCUAUUGGAUUUACAUUGCCUGAGAAGGUCCCGUGCAUGACCCUGGAUUGUAUCGACGACUAAGUCUCUGGUUUGUGGAUUUUGUCCCUGUCAUCUGGUUGUCCCUGAGCCCCCGUGGCCCCACUGCCCAUUCACCCUACCCUCCCCAAGAUGGCUUCCCAACCCCUGUGGUUCCUCCAUUUCUGACUCAUCAGUGUGACCACACCCUGUGGAGCCCCCUCUUCACCCUUUUUUAGUAAUAAACUUUUGUGUACUGAACACUUGUCUUGGCUGCGUUUUGGGUUCUGGCUGAUUUUGCUUGUACAUUACAGACCUAGCCGUUUUUGCUACAUGACCCCAUCUGAACUUGUAAUUUGCAUUUAGCGGCUUGCAGC